AACGAACGCUGGCGGCAGGCCUAACACAUGCAAGUCGAGCGAGGACUUCGGUCCUAGCGGCGGACGGGUGAGUAACGCGUGGGAACGUGCCCUUUGCUUCGGAAUAGCCCUGGGAAACUGGGAGUAAUACCGGAUGAGCCCUUUGGGGGAAAGAUUUAUCGGCGAAGGAUCGGCCCGCGUUGGAUUAGGUAGUUGGUGGGGUAAUGGCCUUCCAAGCCGACGAUCCAUAGCUGGUUUGAGAGGAUGAUCAGCCACACUGGGACUGAGACACGGCCCAGACUCCUACGGGAGGCAGCAGUGGGGAAUCUUAGACAAGGGGGGAAACCCUGAUCUAGCCAUGCCGCGUGAGCGAUGAAGGCCUUAGGGUUGUAAAGCUCUUUCAGCUGGGAAGAUAAUGACGGUACCAGCAGAAGAAGCCCCGGCUAACUCCGUG
This 433-nucleotide ribosomal RNA is filed under the name uncultured bacterium. RNAcentral's name for it is "partial 16S ribosomal RNA". It matches the Rfam family "Bacterial small subunit ribosomal RNA", at positions 29 to 507 of the family's 1533-position model. The record is from RNAcentral.